RNAcentral lists this non-coding RNA (110 nucleotides) under Desulfobacterales bacterium. RNAcentral's name for it is "TPP sequence". It matches the Rfam family "TPP riboswitch aptamer (THI element)". From Rfam's summary of the family: Vitamin B(1) in its active form thiamin pyrophosphate (TPP) is an essential coenzyme that is synthesised by coupling of pyrimidine and thiazole moieties in bacteria. The previously detected thiamin-regulatory element, thi box was extended, resulting in a new, highly conserved RNA secondary structure, the THI element, which is widely distributed in eubacteria and also occurs in some archaea. Lineage: Bacteria; Pseudomonadati; Thermodesulfobacteriota; Desulfobacteria; Desulfobacterales. The record is from RNAcentral.
AUAAAUCACUGGGGGAGUCGAUGCAAAUCGGCUGAGAGGAGGCUUGAAGUCUCGACCCCUGGAACCUGAUCCGGGUCAUACCGGCGAAGGGAAGAUGAUGAAAUUUAAAA